RNAcentral lists this long non-coding RNA (2705 nucleotides) under Homo sapiens (human). RNAcentral's name for it is "HSALNT0125490". The record is from RNAcentral. Lineage: Eukaryota; Metazoa; Chordata; Mammalia; Primates; Hominidae.
AGCAGCAACCCACUCGGGUUCCCUUCCAUGCUGUGGAAGGUUUGUUCUUUCACUCUUCACAAUAAAUAUUGCUGCUGCUCACUCUUUGGGUCUGCACUACCUUUAUGAACUGUAACACUCACUGCAAAGUUCUGCGGCUUCACUCCUGGAGUCAAGCGAGACCACGAACCCACUGGAAGGAAGAAACUCUGGACACAUCUGAACAUCUGAAGGAACAAACUCUGGACACACCAUCUUUAAGAACUGUAACGGCCGGGCACGGUGGCUCACGCCUGUAAUCCCAGCACUUUGGGAGGCCAAGGCAGGCAGAUCAUGAGGUCAGGAGAUCAAGACCAUCCUGGUUAACACGGUGAAACCCCGUCUCUACUACAAAAAGAAAAUACAAAAAAUUAGCCGGGCAUGAUGGUGGGUGCCUGUAGUCCCAGCUACUCGGGAGGCUGAGGCAGGAGAAUGGCGUGAACCCGGGAGUUGGAGCUUGCAGUGAGCUGAGACUGCGCCGCUGCACUCUGGCCUAGGCAAAAGAGCGAGACUCUGUCUCAAACAAACAAACAAACAAACAAAAGAACUGUAACACUCACUGCGAGGGUCCGCGGCUUCAUUCUUGAAGUCAGUGAGACCAAGAACCCACUGGAAGGAACCAAUUCCAGACAUAUUUUGGUGACCCAGAUGGGACUGUCGCCUAUCACCAAGUGAAUCAAGGCCAUGAAGCUACAGAUGGUCUUACAAAUGGAACCCCAAAUGAGCUCAACUAACAACUUCUACUGAGGACCCCUGGACCGACCCACUGGCCCUUUCACUGGUCUAAAGAGUUCCCCUCUGGAGGACACUACAACUGCAGGGCCCCUUCUUUGCCCCUCUCUGGCAGGAAGUAGCUAGAGCGGUCAUCGUCCAAUUCCCAAAAGCAGUUGUAUGCUAGACAUGGGCUAUAGAUUGGUGAAUAAAAAAGACACUGCACCUACCCUGACGGAGAAUUGAAUCUAAUGAGGCAGACAAUAAAAUAAACAAAUAAACAUGUAAUUAUAAAGUGUGAUAAAUGCUACAAUGUAGAAGAAUAAGGUACCAUGAGAGAAUAACAAGAAGAACCUACUUCAGAGAAAGAGAAAUGACUGUUAAUCUCAUGUGUGAAGAGUAAAAUGGAGCCAGCUAUGCAAAGAAGGGAAUGAGGUGGGGACAGCACACUAUACUGAUGAAUUUAAUUUUUUUUAAAGAGACAGAGUCUUGCUAUGUUGCCCAGACUGGACUUGAAUCCUGGGCUUAAGGGAUCCUCCCACCUCAGUCUCCCAAGUACCUGGGACUACAGGCAUGCACCACUGCACCUGACUUGAAUUUUAUUUUUAUUUUGUUUUUUUAAUAUAAAAUUUAAAUAUGAAGUAAAUAUGAAUUUUAAUAUUAAGUAUUUUAUAUAAAAUUUAAAUAAUUCAGUAAUAAAAUACUCAUUUAAUCAAAACCAAAUAACCCUAAAAUAUAUGAAGUAAAAAAUGACCACUUUUUGCCUGUCACCCUGCAAAAUAUUGCAUUAUCUGGGAAGAAGUACGGUUAACAGAUUGGUGUGUUUGAAUAAUUCUCAACUGAUCAUUUCCCAGCUGUGAAAGAAUACAAACUGUAAGGAUCUUCCUUUGGAAAGAAUAAGAAAAUUGACACCAAAGUAACAAAGGCAGCAGAUGACUAAUGUCAGAACAUCUUUGCAAUAUCUUAGUAUGCUUCCAGUUGCAUAAUAAUUUGCAUCUGUGAAUAAUCAGUGGAAAUAAAGGUCUUCGCCAUCUGCCUUGGAAUAAUCACAUUCCCAGAUCUUUUAGAAAUUUACUUGAAAUAAAGUUUAUAACUUAUCUUUCUAACAAUCAAUAGAGCUGGUAAAAAUUGUUUUACUGCUUGAUUUGGCAGCUCAAAUUUCAAUUUUGAGUCAUUCAAAUUGCCUUUGCUUUUGCUCACAUUUGAUUGAUUUUGCAAUAAUGGUAAAUACAAAAGUGGGUACACAAGGCAUAUCACAUUACUAAAUAACAAACAGAUGAUAUUCAGAAUAUCUAAUCUAUAGUACUCUGUAUUUCACUAGAUCUAAAAUAUACUUGAAGACAGGCUAGAUUUAUCUUAAAAGUGUACAAAUGUCAAUUACGGACUCAAUUACAGACCCAUGAGGAAAAAAUACAUCCAGAUUUCUAAAGUAGAGAAUGCUGGGCUACCUCAGCUUCAUGAGAAAUGUGAAGCAUUUCACGACUAUGAGUCGUUUAUUUCCUAACAUAGAGUGGUACGUGCAGUAAGCCUGAAUUACCGGGAAUUCUGGGUCUCAGGGGAAGCUCAACCACACAUAAAGAGAAAUUGUGGUCCAGAGACACAUGCCCUCAGCGCCCUAAGAAAAAAUAUCCAAAAUGCUUUACUUCUUUAACUGUUUAAAGAAUUGUGAAAUAUAACACAUAUGUAGAAAAAGUGAUAAAAAUCUAAAGAUGUAUUUAAUAAGUGUCAUCUGUGUGAUUAUGAACCAGAUCAAGAAACCAAUUAUCAACACCCCAGAAGCUUCCAGGUGUUCCUUCUCUUCCCAAUCCCCCUUUUUCCCUCAAAGGUUACCUCUUGCCUUUUAUGGUUAUCACCCCUUACCUUUUCUUAUACUGUAAUCACCUACUUAUGUAUUUCUAAACACUAGAAUGUAGUUAUGCUUAAUUUUGAAUUUUAUAUAAAUUAAAUAACACUGUAUAUAUUUUUGUGUGUCUGGC